Molecule: long non-coding RNA, 783 nt
Organism: Mesoplodon densirostris (Blainville's beaked whale)
Lineage: Eukaryota; Metazoa; Chordata; Mammalia; Artiodactyla; Ziphiidae
Exons: 3
Source: RefSeq, a predicted model, not a curated record
AGACCGCGGGGAGGAAGCGGUUUUGAGGUUCAGUUCCUGCCUCGUAAAGGAGAGGGUCCUGAGAGGCCUCCCUGGGGGGUCUGUGCUCCCCACGACGGUCACCGGCUCCAGGGCCCGGCCGCGAUCCCCUCUCGGCCCGGGUCAGGGGUCUCGGGAGCCUCGAGGUGUCGGGGUGGUCAGAGGCGCUCGAAAGGCUCCGGAGGCCUCGGGGAGUCUGGGGUCUCGAAGGGCCUGGGGGACUCAGGAUCUCAGGAGGCCAGGGGCUCUGGACUCUCAGGAUCGGGGAGUCUCGGGGCCGUGCGUCGCGGCCGCUGGCUGGUGAACGGAAGGUAUGGCAACGCAGCAUUUGUGAAAAUCAAACUCUAGGUCGGUCCAUCCUCACCGCCCUGUGCGGGAGGGCAGCCCCUCCCCCUCCCACUGAGAUGCCAGGAGUGUGAAACAGGUCGCGGGUGAGAUCAUGCGCCGAAGGAGAUGGCCCCCAAGGCCUGCGAAACCCCACGGAGGAGGGGCCGGGGGCUGCAGCCGGCUCCGCACGUGCCCUCUGGAGUGCACUGAGGAGAAGCAACCCUGUGACUGGACGGAGAAACCGAGGCACAGCACGGGGGUAACUAGCCUGGUCACAGCUAACAGGCAGCAGUGGGGCUUGAACCUGGGUGGCCUGGCCCAGCAUCUCUGCUGUCCACCAGCAGCUGCUCCUCGACUUCUCAAGCAUCUCGACUUCUCAGAUCUUUUUAACAAGUCCUCCCAUUCUUAACAUGAAAAUGCCUCAUAAACCCCCCAAAU